GCAUCCAUAUAGUUUCUACAUCGCGUUGUUCCUCGCAGUCUCCUCCUCCACCUUACUUUGGCAUGUUGAUACUUCAUCUUCUCUGUUCCCUGAUCCCCCAAUUCUUUCUCCAUCAAAUUUCGGAAUUCAUCUGAUUGAUGUUAUUUUUCUACUCCCAAAUGAAUAGAAGGCGCUCCGAGUUAAUGGAUUCAUGGUCGUUUCCGAUGGGUUGGGUUUUUCUUCCCCUCCAAUGGCGAACUGUCAGGUUAUUAUCCGUGUGUCAUCUUACUAUGUGUGCUCAACCUGCUGCACAGAGUGUCUACAGUUGGACGGAAUCCAAGGGAGCCAUAGCUUCGUAUAACGAUGGCAUAUGGAGCAAUUCUUCUGUUUAUCCUUUUGGACAAUGAAUUUACAUGCUUUUCCGAAGACUCUAAUUGAAGGUACAUACAUACAGGCAUAUCUGAGGUAUCCACGACAAAAUAAAGUCAAUCAUGGAUUGGAUCCAUACCCAGCUUGGACAUGAACCAAUAUUCUCUCAAAAGCUUGGUAAAGAAUCUUUGUUUAAUGAAGAGUACUUGAAAAAGGAAUACUGAUUUGGUCUGAGAUUUUUGUCUGAUCAUGUAUUGUUGUGGCCACAAGCGCUCCCUUCACUGUAAACUUCCGCGUUGUCAUCAGGACGAUGUUAAAAUGCAGUCUAUGCGCGCGUGUGUGUGCGUGCACAUAUAGCAGUUAGCAUUUCCAAAAGGUUGUGAAGCUCAACACUUUCUGUAAGCACUUUGUGCUCUUCAUAUGGCAAUGCACGUUCUUAAUAUGAUGCAUGAUGUUUCAUCUCUGACCAUUUAUUGUGACAUGAUUAGUGUCUUGUGGCAUAUUAUUUUUAGGUAAUUGAAGGAGAUAAGAUAAAUUUUCUUGACAA
Molecule: long non-coding RNA, 895 nt
Organism: Triticum dicoccoides
Lineage: Eukaryota; Viridiplantae; Streptophyta; Magnoliopsida; Poales; Poaceae
Exons: 3
Source: RefSeq, a predicted model, not a curated record